UAUAACGUGUAACUCUUACUCUGUUUCAGAUAGAAACGUAUAACUCUUACUCUGUUUCAGAUAGAACGUGUAACUCUUACUCUGUUUCAGAUAGAACGUGUAGACUUUAUAACGUGUAACUCUUACUCUGUUUAUGAUAGAAACGUGUAACUCUUACUCUGUUUCAGAUAGAACGUGUAACUCUUACUCUGUUUAUGAUAGAAACGUGUAACUCUUACUCUGUUUAUGAUAGAACGUGUAACUCUUAUUCUGUUUCAGAUAGAAACGUGUAACUCUUACUCUGUUUAUGAUAGAACGUGUAACUCUUACUCUGUUUCAGAUAGAACGUGUAACUCGUACUCUGUUUCAGAUAGAACGUGUAACUCUUACUCUGUUUCAGAUAGAACGUGUAGACUUUAUAACGUGUAACUCUUACUCUGUUUAUGAUAGAACGUGUAACUCUUACUCUGUUUCAGAUAGAACGUGUAACUCGUACUCUGUUUCAGAUAGAACGUGUAACUCUUACUCUGUUUCAGAUAGAACGUGUAGACUUUAUAACGUGUAACUCUUACUCUGUUUAUGAUAGAACGUGUAACUCUUACUCUGUUUAUGAUAGAACGUGUAACUCUUACUCUGUUUAUGAUAGAAACGUGUAACUCUUACUCUGUUUAUGAUAGAACGUGUAACUCUUACUCUGUUUCAGAUAGAACGUG
This is a long non-coding RNA of Oncorhynchus tshawytscha (Chinook salmon), 692 nucleotides long. The record is from Ensembl. Lineage: Eukaryota; Metazoa; Chordata; Actinopteri; Salmoniformes; Salmonidae.